Non-coding RNA from Monodelphis domestica (gray short-tailed opossum), 5082 nucleotides. The record is from RefSeq and is a predicted model, not a curated record. Lineage: Eukaryota; Metazoa; Chordata; Mammalia; Didelphimorphia; Didelphidae.
AUGGCGGCGGCGGAGGAGGAGCCGGAGAAAGAGCAGGAACAAGGAAGCCGGGGGCCGACCAUGUCCGCGUCCCGCGGUAACCAGCGAGCGAUAGAGGCGUCGAGGCAUUGCCCCAUCUGGACGUCUGAGUCGCCCUCGACGGGGGCUUUGGUGCCAUCGAAACGUACUUCUACCCGGCUUCACGAGGACUCUGGAUGGAGCGACUUCUCUCCGGGCCAGAGCUCUUGUAAAAGUGAAUCAAAUAAGAGUAUGGAUAUGGGAAAUCAACAUCCUUCUAUUACUAGACUUCAGGAAAUCCAAAAAGAAGUCAAGAGUAUUGAACAGCAAGUGGUUGGCUUCAGUGGUCUCUCAGAUGACAAGAACUAUAAGAAGCUGGAAAGGAUUCUGACUAAACAACUUUUUGAAAUUGACUCUGUAGAUACUGAAGGAAAGGGGGAUAUUCAACAAGCCAGAAAAAGAGCUGCUCAAGAAACAGAGCGCCUUCUCAAAGAACUGGAGCAGAAUGCAAACCACCCACAUCGAAUAGAGAUAGAUAAUAUUUUUAAGGAAGCUCAAGCACUUGUCAAGGAAGAAAUCGCUCCACUCUGUAGUGGAGAUAACAGGUUAACUGAUGAAUUUGAAGAAGCCAUCCAGGAUGUUAUACUGAGACUGACACAUGUAAAAACAGGAGGGAAAAUCUCUUUGCGGAAAGCAAGAUAUCACACAUUGACCAAAAUAUGUGCAGUUCAAGAGAUUAUUGAAGAUUUCAUGAAGAAACAACCUUCCUUGCCACUUUCUGAAGAUACACAUCCUUCUGUCUCCAAAAUAAACUCUGUUAUGUGCGAAGUGAACAAAGCCCGAGGGACUCUUAUUGCUCUUUUAAUGGGAGUAAACAACAGUGAGACUUGCAAGCACUUGUCCUGUGUGCUCUCAGGGUUGAUUGCUGAUCUGGAUGCUUUAGAUGUCUGUGGACGUACAGAAGUAAGAAAUUAUAGGAAGGAAGUAGUGGAAGAUAUCAACAAAUUAUUGAAAUAUUUGGAUUUAGAAGAAGAAGCAGAUUCUACUUAUGCAUUUGACCUGGGACAGAAUCAAUCCAUUUUAAAAAUAGAAGAGAUCCUCAAGAAAAUGAGAGAUGUGAAGAAGGAACUUCUUCAAGCACAAAAUCCUUCUGAUUUAUAUCUGGGAUCAAAGACAGAAUUGCAAGGUUUAAUUGGACAGUUGGAUGAAGUGGACCUUGGGAAGAACCCAUGUAUCCGAGAAGCAAGAAGAAGAGCUGUAAUAGAAGUACAAACACUUAUCACUUAUAUUGACUUGAAGGAAGCUCUUGAGAAAAGAAAGCAAGGAGUUGCUGAGGAACACCCAUCCCACAAAGCCGUCUGGAAUGUUCUCGGAAGCUUAUCUGACAUCCAGCGAGAAGUUCUUUCAUUUGACGGAAAUAGAACUGAUAAGAACUAUAUACGGCUGGAGGAACUUCUCACCAAGCAGCUGCUAACCCUAGAUGCUGUGGAUCCUCAAGGAGAAGAGAAGUCCAAAACUGCCAGAAAACAAGCUGUGAAACUUGCACAAAAUAUUCUCAGCUAUCUCGACCUGAAAUCAGAUGAAUGGGAAUACUAAGAACCAGAGGUCACACAUUUGAUAUUGCUUGUUUUGCACUUUAUGUAGAAUCCUAUAUAUUUACAUAGAGCUCUUUCAGUCUACUAAGACAUAUAUGAUUUAAACAUGCAUAUUUCAAUACCAGUAUUUGUUUAUGACCCCUGACUUGAAUAAGUUACAUAUCUACCAUUUUUCAUGGUGCAAAAACAUAUUUACAAUCCACUAGCAUUUCCAUUUGGGUUGUGUUAUCUGUAUGAUGUGUAUUUUUAUUCUUAAAAAAUGAGUUCUGUUAGAAGUGGAGUUUAUAGUAAUCUAUUUUUUAAAUGGAUAGUGCAAAAGUAAAAAAAAUGCAGAUGUUCUGAAUUCUAGAUAGCCUUCUUACACAGUACUAGAAAAAAUUAUGAGAAAUAAAUAAAUUAUUGGCCUGAUAAGAUUAAGAUCCAAACACUAGAGUGGCACAAGUAUAAAUUUUAAUAUGCUAAAUAAAAGCAAAAAGGAAAACCAACUUUUUAAAUUUAGAAAUGUUGAUUUGUUUUUCCAUCUUACUAUUUUUUUGUUGUUUAAGCAACUUUUUUUUGGUAAGAAUUUUAUGUUUAGAAAAGUAUCUUUUCCCCUGUGCUAUGCAUAGGGGAUGACAAGGUAGUCAACAAAUUCUGUCCCUUUUUUGUUAUGAAAUUAUGAAAACUAAUAGCAAAAAAGGGGAAAUUUUAGUUUGUAUUGAAGAGGAGAUUAAAGUACUCCACAUUUAAAAUUUUUUGACUUUUUUAAGUUUGUACGUUAAAUCUGAACUGAACUGUAGUAAUUUAUGUGGCUUUGGAUUAGAAUUUUUUGGUUAAGUUUUUGAUCUUGGAGGGGAUGGAAAACUUAUGGAGACUAGAAAUGAGUAAUUUGUUAUCAGUGGCAAGUUAUGCUAAGAGAGGCAGAAAAAUAUAAUAGGUAAUGGUUUUCUUCUAUCUGACAGUCAAGGCUAUAUAAUAGACAAACUUAUUAAAUGAACCCAAUUUAAUUUUGCAACAGAUAAUUGCAAAAUAGAGCCACUGAAGUAAAUUUUCCUGGGUUUGUCAUUAUAAGAAAUUAAUUGCCAAUUGGAAAAGGAUGCCAGCAUUUUAAGUACCAAACUAACUGGAAAAAAAGCAUUGAAUUAGUGAUGCUAAGUAAUCAUUAGAUUGUUAGGGGUCAUUUUAUUCAUCUGUAGAAGCUAUUUUUACUCUGAAAUAGACAUUCAAACAAUUGCAGUACAUGAAAGUUUUCAUAAAAUUCCAUAAGUAUUUUUCUAAAUUUGAUUCUGUUGCCUGCGAGCCAAACAAAAGUGCCUUUUUAGCAUCUUAAAAGUAGUACCACCUUUUAGGUUCCUAUAUUCUAUAUGGUUGGCAGCAGCCAGACAUUUCUAUAACAUCCCAGUGAAAAUAGCAAAGCCUAUUAGACUUUAUACAUUGAACCAUAUGUUAAUAUUUACUUUCAGAUGCUUUUGUUUGAAAUAGAAAAAAACAUUUUGGCAAGGAAAAAACCUUAAUAAAGUACCACCAACCAAGUGGUAAGCUUGGUUUAAAAAAAAAAACAAGUAAGCUUUUGUUUUUGGCAAUUGCAAAAAGGUCGUUGAUAAUAUACUUGUCUUCUUUCAUGCUUCGUUUAUUUUUUUUUUAAUUUUCUCAACAUUAUAUAACAGGAGCUUAAAAGCCAGCAGCAGAACCCAUCUAUAUGCAAUGGCUUCUUUCCUCAACUUUCCCUAAUUCACCAUAGUAUUGCAUUUUGUUUAUAUUUUCAUUUUUUACCAAAAAGCUUGAAUAUUUUUGUAUCACUGACUUUUUUCAUGGUCACUUUAAAUUUUGAAGGGUAUAUAUAUAUAUAUAUAUGUAUAUAUAUAUAUACCAUAAUACUGCCUAUUAAUUGAAUGUGACAUUUUCAGCCUUUGAGAAAUAAGACAUGACAAUGCAUUUUAACUUCACCCCAGUUUUGUUUUUUUAUUUUGCUAUGCCCACUGACCUGUAGAGUAUGACAUUUUUUAUGCAAUUUUUUCCCCCAAAACUAUGUCUUAUCAUUUAUUAAAGGAACAUCUCAUUUAAAACUAGGCACUACCUUUAGGUGGUGCUAAAUUUGCCAGUUGGUUUGAAUUUAUGACAGGGGUAUUUUGUUGUUCAAAACUGUUAGAUUAACCUUGAGUGAUGUAAUAGAUUGACUAUUUUGGUGGUUGGGGGGAAAUGGAAAAUUAUCUGUUUGGUCAAAAUGUUCAAACAUGCCUUUUGUUUCUUUAUUUUAACCUAUUCCUUAUUGCCAAGGACCCAUUCCUAUUGUUCUUACUGGUGUAAUGAACUCCAGUAACACAAAGGUUAGUUUUUCUAUUUUACUUAUUGGGAACUGGUUUGAGUUGACGUGCAUUUACAAAUUGGCUCAUAUUAUAUUUUUAUAAUUUUUGCAUGAAGGAAUAUUGUAAACUAAUGGAUAAUAUACAAAAAAGUAUGGCCUGUACUUGUGUUACUGAAUAGUCAUAAAAUAUUUGUAGGUAGUAUAUAAUCUACAUUCAUAACCAGAAUGGCCAGAGGGUGUUUGUUUUCUUUAGCAUUUUUAGAUCUUUUAUUCAACAAAGUUUAAAUGAACCAGACCAUAAUGAAGUAGUUAUUAGAAAUAAAUAUACCUACCAUAUAGAAUUUAAAUGAAAUGCUUUAAUUUUGUUAAAUUGAUGUGGUAUAGUAUAUUUGAAGUAGUGGCAAUACAACAUACAUUUUGUAUGUUUUGAGAAAAAUGUAAAAUACUGUUUUUUUAUUUGUAAUAUUGCUUUUCUGCAUCUUAUCUGGUUUGUGAUUUUCUUAAGUUCAGGAUUCUGCAAGUUCAGGAUUUUCUUAGAAGUCAUUUAAGCAUUCAAAUGACCAGGUCUUUUUUUUUUCUUUUAAAAAAAUCCAUUAGGAAAUACUUGCCAUUGAUUGUUACAUGUAUAGCUACACAUGAGUAUUUGUACAGUGUUUAUUUCCUAUCCCCUUCUUGACUAAUAAAAAAUGUAGUAGUGUGUCUAGAUAGUUUAAUAUUGUUUUGAAUUAUACAUAUUCUUAUAUACAUAAUUACUAAUGAAAUAAAAUCUCUUAGGUUAUCUUUGGAUUGGAGAAAGGGCAUAAGCUAAUCUAAGGUGACUCAGACCAGAAAAACAAGGGCAACUUGUUCAGCCAUGCAAAUUUAGAAUGGGCCCAGGAACCAAAAGAAAUUAGUACAGGCAAUACCUGCAACCUACAAGCUCCAUCGGCACCUGCUAACUGAAGAGGCGUAAAGUAGUCCAGUGACAGAAAAUCUGGCCUCUAAGGAACAACCAGCUUAUAUCCAAAGGGUUCAACAGCAGAAGAUGGAUCUUUUUUGGCUAUGAAUCAUUAGACUUAAGCAUAAAAGGGACUGAAAGUAAUCAGACAUGAAAUUAUAGAUAUUUGAAGCAUCCUGGAAAAAUAUUGUUUUAUUAAACUUAAAUUACAUUGUAAUAACAUCCAGAAGACUAAAUUUGAACCCAAAAGAACUACCUGUAAUCCUUUU